GCAGCAUUCCGGCUCCAGAACCCGCAAGGGCGCCCUCUGGCGAGGCAGCCACACCCACCGCAGAGGACCGUCAGCUCCAGAACCCAGGCAGUUCUGGGCUGGCUGCUGCAGCUCCCCGGCAGACACUGGCCUCCUGAGGCUGCUGUUUAUCCCCCAAUACAAAUGCUCUACUUUUAAAGAAAAAGACACUCACUCCUAGUAACAUUAGCUUCCUACAGAGAAAAUGAUGCGACCAGGCUUCCCACUGUGAAAAUGAAGUUAUGGGCCAUCAGGAGGGUUAAGCGCCACUCAGCUGAACAUUUCCUCCUAGGUGCGGAGCUGGGACCCUUGUUUUGAUACUUGGUGAUGGUAGCUUUGAAUAGGGCAAAGUAGAGGAAAGGGAGGACCUAGUAAUAGAACAGUGGCCUCCUGGAGAGAGGAAGGCUCUUUGUAGCCACAUAUACAGGUAACGCAUCUACUUCCUAGAUGAUCCCAGGGUCCCUGGAGAGCAAACACCUUUCUUGGCUGGGGAGAGUUCCACAGCUCUCCAUCAGCGCAUGUCCCAGUGACCUGAGUGCUGGAUAAGAACCAAGCACCAGAUUGUUCCUAGGGCACUGAUCUGCCAGACACUCCAUCAAAGGUAAUACCUGCCAUUCAUUACCUGUGCUGACAGAUGGGCUUCCUUUCCCCAGGUCCUUACAGUCAUGGACCCAGCAGAGCUGGAAAACUAAUGGAGGUCUCUAGAGUUGGAGUAGUAUUUCGUGCCUAACUUAAAUCUUAUAUGUGACAUCACCAUUUUUCAGAGCCCAAGCAAGAGUUUUCAAGAUAGAGUGGCUGGGUUGGCUAGUGUCCUUUCCAAAACACUAAUAAAAAGGAGGAUGUUCCUCUCUCUAGCUUUUUAUAGGACAAAGAUCCAGAGCCACUCUGAUUAACUCAGGCCCAGUCUAUAGUCUGUUUGUAUAGGGAUCUUGCUGCUCUGAAAACCAGAGAGAUGGAUAAAAACAAGCACCAUGCAAACCUUGCAUAGCACCCAGGUUACAUAGAGCCCGAGUUAACCAGAGCCACCUGCAUCUAUAUCACCUUAGAAUUCCGGAAGGUACUGGCUUCAGGCAAGUGGCUUCUGUCGUGAAGAAAAUAUAAUACUUUGAGUGUCAUUGCUACAAGGCAAGUGUUCCUAUGUACUCCAUCACACCAACUGCAGUGAGACUAUCAGGAAAGCUUUGGGUACCCUCCCCGGGAAAACUGCACAUCACUCUGCUGAAAUUUCAGGAAAAGUUUACGGGUCUCAAGGACAGAGCUGAAGUCAAAAAAUUUCACCUUCGUGUUAACUUUUAUGGAUUUUUAAGGGGAGGGGCAAAAAAAUUCAUUUCACCAUUCCCUUUGUCUUCUUAAAACUCAGAAGAAACCUCACACACAGACCAAUGAGUUUGAAAUCGCUAUUUUAAAAGGCAUAGCAGAAUUUUGAUAGAAAAAAUAGAGCAAAAGCAGUAAAACCUCAUCCCUAACAUUGUCCAGCUGCCUGACAUCCUGGUUCAGUUCCGGAGACUUUGCAUCACUCCCUAGUUCCAGGGGGUGGCACAGGAGCCAAAAUGAGACCUGAGGCUGAGGCCCAACAGAAGAUGAAACUUGGGAGCAGCCUCAGCUCCAGGAAUCCUCACUUUCUGGCACAGCAGGUUUGGGUGCCGCAGAGCCCAGGGCUAGGCGCCUGCCAGCAGUCCAUCAGUCACAGUCUCAGAUGAGUGGCAUCAAGGUGGAGCCCACUGAAGUGAAGAAGAGCUGUGAGGGACACCUGCAGCAGAAAUGUCCGCCCCCUGCCUUGUCCCACUGAAGCUCCAUCUCACAGUUGGAGAAGUGGAAGCAAAGGAACCUGUCCUAGACCACACAGCCUGGCCCUGUUUCCAGAGCCAGAGGUCUUUGGGCUCUGGAACAAAGACAGUGACCCCAUUAACCCACUGGCACUGUGUGCCAGGCACUUGGCCUGUGUCGUCUCAUUGCGGCACAGAGCAGCCCUGGGAAUGGAAGCAGUGUCAUUCCUAUUUUUCAGGUGAGGUACAGACUCAGAAAGGUCAAGAAACUUGCUCACGGUCUCACAGCUGGUGAGCUGGUUGUCAGACUCCCAAGAUGUGCGCUGCUAACCCUGCCCAAAGGGACUUCAUCCUCCUUCCUCGACAGCUCUCCCGACCACCCGCCAACAGGCAACGUAGGUGUGACUGCCUUCAGAAGUUUUCUACCUGCCUUCAAGCUUGAAGCACUAGAGACUGAGGGAAGAGAGAACUGGAAGUGAAGGAAGAAAAAAGAGUUAUUGCCCUCCUGCAGUGAACCUCCAAGGUUGUUUCCUCAGGCCUGACUGGACUGGAAGAAGCAGGGGGUGUGUGUCUGUGUGUGUGUGUGUGUGUGUGUGGUGUGUGUGUGUGUAAUUUGACUUUGUGACCAUGAAACUGAGUGAAUACUCUUCUGUCGUUGCCUGUUUCUUCUUGUACAUUGCCUAGAGGAAUACCCAUUAAUGUUUAGAGGCAUGGAAUGAUAGAAAAUAACACUGUUCAAGGACCAAAAAUUUAAAAAUUGCUGACAUACAGCAUAGAAUGUGAAAGUCCCUGAUAAUCUUAUCCUUAGGGAUAACCACUUGCCAUUUUUUACAAUUUGAAUUUUUUUAUGAUUACAAAAGUCAGACACAUUUAAAAAUACUUUAAAACAAAAUAAAAAUAAAUGCUUCAUUGCUCAGGUUACCUUAGUACAGGCAAGGUCUGAGACCACAUCCAUCAAUGCAAUUUGCUGCAUGGAUUACCAGAUCUCCCCACCAUUGACCUCUUGAUUUUUUUUCACUCUGAGAGCAAACAGAAUGGGCAAGGGCUGACCUGAAAUCCUUUUGAAACACAGGCUGGAUCCUAGGGCUUUGACCUCCACUGCUCACUGCCACACAGGAUCCAUCUCUGUGCCCCACUCCCACUGGCCUUCCUGCUGCUGCUCACACAGGCCUACUCCUAAGGCUUCUGCAUACUCUGUUCCCUGCAGAGACCUCUCUUCCUCUGAACAAAUGUGGGACCCAUCUCUGCCAAGGCUGGGAAGCAAACAGCCCCCACUUUGCCUUGCCAGCCUGUGUUUGCACCAUUCCUGUGGUGGCCUCUCCCAGCUGCUUUCAUGUGGCAUUUGAGCUCUGGGAAGCUGGAAGUUUGUAGAGUCCAGUUCCCUCAUUCUGCAUAUAUGGACGAUAAAGCCCACAGGCAAGGGCUCUGACAAAAGGAAAAAUGCUUUCCAUUUGGCAUUGUGAUGCAGAGGCUGUCACAGACAAGCCUAGGAAUUUGGGAUACAUCUUGCUGAGCCUAGAGACAGAAAAGAGCUUCUAGGCUGCCUUCCCUGAGCCCCAGGCCAGGCCCCUCCAGGACACACUUGCAUGGCACCCUGUUCUACAAAACACUGCACACUAAUGACGAUGCAAAGGAUUAACUGACUUUUCCAUAUUCUUGUUUUCUACCAAGUGAUAAGCUUCAGAAGGACAAGGUAUGAGUCCAUUUUGCUUUUUGCCUUCCCCAGCACAUGGCACAAUGCCCAGCACAUAGUGUUUUGAGAGACAGCUGACUGGCUGUCUCAUACAAGGUCCUGCUCUGUUGGACACAAGGGCUGCUUAACACAUUCCUGUGCUACAAAAGACGGGCAGUGCUCCUCUCCUCUAGGAGCCACCAAAUAAAUCCAGAUACGAAUGCCAAAAAGAGGGCAGCACCAGCUUAGGGACAGAGUGCCUUGAUAAGGCACUGUUUCUAUCCAUGGAGGCAGUGUGGAACGAUAGGAAUGAUCCAGGACCUAGGGGAGAGAGCUUAAGUCUUCCUUGCAGCCAAAAGCCUUCAAACCUGAGCUAGCCAGAACUGUUGUGUCAGAAUUCUCACCCAUGACAAGCAGCCUGGAGGUAGGGAUUCCAGGGUUGAUGCAUUGACUUAAGGUGUCAUCAAAAGCUUAGACUACCCUUCUGCUGCACCACCCUUAUCACCUCGUGGUCACAAGAGGACUACUGCUGUUCAAGUCAUCACUUCCACAUUCCAAAAGGAAGAAAGGAGAGGUAGAGGGGCCAGAAGUAUCCCCACCUUUUAGGAGGCAUUAGCUUUCCCAGAAACUUCCAUGUCCACCCAGCAGACUUCCACUUACAUCUCACUAGGCAGAACUCCUAUCAAUUGGCUACCCCAGCAGUCAGGGAAGCUGGAAAGGUGAGCAUUCAGCUAUAGAGAGUGGAAACACAAGCAGCGAGGGAAGAACAGGUCAGUCAUCACUGUAGAGUUCCCCACCCUGCAGCAUUUGCCAAAACUAGGUAAAUUAUUUUUUAACAUAACAGUGUUUUUGUGGAUUUUCUUAUUACAAAAGCAAUGCAUAUACAUUGUUACUUUAGAAAAUAAAGAUUUUAAAUCUUCAACAAGCCCAUUACUCAGAAGUGACAACUGUUAUUCCUGGUUUAUUAGCUUUCUAGAUCUUUGUAUUUUUUUUUAACAUGGGUGGAACCACAAUACGGGUUGCUUUGAAAUCAGCCUUUGCACUUGGCAUUGUGAAAAAUCUUUCCAAAUCAUUAAAUGUUCUCUACAGAAUUA
Long non-coding RNA from Piliocolobus tephrosceles (Ugandan red Colobus), 4550 nucleotides. RefSeq lists it as uncharacterized. The transcript is spliced from 2 exons. The record is from RefSeq and is a predicted model, not a curated record. NCBI's taxonomy places the organism in Eukaryota, Metazoa, Chordata, Mammalia, Primates, Cercopithecidae.